CCUACGGGAGGCAGCAGUAGGGAAUCUUGGACAAUGGGGGCAACCCUGAUCCAGCCAUGCCGCGUGAGUGAAGAAGGCCCUAGGGUCGUAAAGCUCUUUCGCCUGUGAUGAUAAUGACAGUAGCAGGUAAAGAAACCCCGGCUAACUCCGUGCCAGCAGCCGCGGUAAUACGGAGGGGGUUAGCGUUGUUCGGAAUUACUGGGCGUAAAGCGCGCGUAGGCGGAUUGGAAAGUUGGGGGUGAAAUCCCGGGGCUCAACCCCGGAACUGCCUUCAAAACUCCCAGUCUAGAGUCCGAGAGAGGUGAGUGGAAUUCCGAGUGUAGAGGUGAAAUUCGUAGAUAUUCGGAAGAACACCAGUGGCGAAGGCGGCUCACUGGCUCGAUACUGACGCUGAGGUGCGAAAGUGUGGGGAGCAAACAGGAUUAGAUACCCUGGUAGUCCACACCGUAAACGAUGAAUGCCAGUCGUCGGAUAGUAUACUAUUCGGUGACACACCUAACGGAUUAAGCAUUCCGCCUGGGGAGUACGGUCGCAAGAUUAAAACUUAAAUGAAUUGACGG
This 560-nucleotide ribosomal RNA is filed under the name uncultured bacterium. Its description in RNAcentral is "bacterial SSU rRNA". It matches the Rfam family "Bacterial small subunit ribosomal RNA", at positions 338 to 916 of the family's 1533-position model. The record is from RNAcentral.